Molecule: non-coding RNA, 870 nt
Filed under: Scylla paramamosain (green mud crab)
Lineage: Eukaryota; Metazoa; Arthropoda; Malacostraca; Decapoda; Portunidae
Source: RNAcentral
AAAAAAGUUUGAUUAACUCUUUGGUUCUUAUAAUAAUUACUGAUUUUGUAUGAGAGUUUUUGCAUGUAAUUGUAUAUAAAUUUAAAAUUUAUAUAUGAAAUUUGGUUAUAAUAAGAAAAUAUCUUAUUAAUCUUAAUUCUCAGCAUAUAAUAUUAAAUAAUUUAAAAAAUUAAGAUUUAGCAGUCAGUUUAAACCUAAUUAAUAUUGUGCCAGCAGUUGCGGUUAUACUUUAAGGUUAAAUAAGGAUAUAUUGGGUCAUUGUUAAGCAGAAAUAAAUUAUAAAAAUUCUUGGAAAAUAAAAAGGUGAAAUUAGGUUAUUUUUUUAAAGGUAAUAUUGAUAUAAAUAAAAGUUUAGAAAUUAGAGCUGAAGCAAUAAAAAAUUGGAUUUAAACUAGGAUUAGAUACCCUACUAUACCAAAAAGUAAUUUUUUAAGACCUAAGUAUUUAAAGUUAUGUACUUGAAAUUUGAAUAAUUUGGCGGUGAUUUAGUCUUGUCAGAGGAACCUGUUUUUAAAUCGAUACACCACGAAAAAUCUUACUUAGGCUUGUAGAGUAGUAUGUAUACCAUCAUUAUUAGGUAAUUUUUAUAGAAUAAAUUACUAAAAAUAAUUAUUAAUAGUGUUAAAUAUAUUAGAUCAAGGUGCAGCUAAUGCUUAAGUUAAAAUGGGUUACAAUAAAAAUUUAUUUAAUACGGAAUAUUAAUUUAAAUAAUUAAUUAGAAGGAGGAUUUGAUUGUAAAUUAAAUUUAAUAUGUUUAGUUAGAUAUAAGCUCUAAAUCAUGUACAUAUCGCCCGUCGCUUUCAUUACCAAAAUGAGAUAAGUCGUAACAUAGUAGGCUUACUGGAAAGUGAGCCUGGAUAGGAAAAAAAU